RNAcentral lists this long non-coding RNA (5104 nucleotides) under Canis lupus familiaris (dog). Its description in RNAcentral is "lncRNA (ENSCAFG00040022443.1)". Lineage: Eukaryota; Metazoa; Chordata; Mammalia; Carnivora; Canidae. The record is from RNAcentral.
AAGCAAAGAAUGCCAAGUGUUGACAAAACCCACCAGACAUUAGGCAAUACCUAAUACUUAAUACCUCCUGAGAGAGCAUGGUUCUGCUGACACUUUGAUUUUGGACUGCUAGUCUCCAGAACUGGGAGACAAUAAAUUCUUGUUGUUAUGCAGUUUGUGGCAAUUUGCUAUGGCAGCUGUAGAAAACUUUGUAGGAAUGUAAAAAUGCUCUUUCAAAAAGUGCUUCAAUGGAACUAUAAGAGUUCUUAUACCAGGUGAGGCUCUGUACCUAAAUUGAUGGGUUUCUCCACACACUCGAAAGAGGGAAACCUUGGGCACCUCAGGAACAGGGUGAAGGAGUGGGCAUAGUUGUCCUGGUGAUAACUAGACAACCGUAAGCCCUUUCUUUACUGCCCAGGCAAUAGGGAAAAUCUGCCUCCUAUUCACUUGGAUACAGUGUUCCUUUCUUUUUGUUCCACAUGAAAGGAGAGAUAUUCUAAGAUUCUCUUUGGUGCACACAUUUUAGACAAGAUUGGAUGUGCCCUAAGGAAACUUUGACCCUUCAGGAAAAGAUCAGGAGUCCCUUUUUUGGGAAAUUUUUUCCUUCCUUGGGUUUACUUACAAUAGAAAAUUUGGGAAAACAAACCACUUGCCAUGCAUGUGUGUCUUGUUUGCUUUGGGAAUAUUCUUAUCCUAAAUAAGAGAGCUCUGAGCUUUCUCUCUCUCUGCUCUAAUGUGGCUGAGCUCUAUCCUUGGAAAGGGCAUUGGAUAUAGUGCUUCUGAACCUAUGAGUCUGUGGCAAUUUGAAGUUUCCUAAUAUUCCUUAGCAUUCUCUCAUGUAACUUCACAGGAUAGUACUUGAUGGUGUUGAGCUCCCAGCAGAGCAAAGGCCAAGCCCAUACCAGCUAGGCUCUCACAAUCUCCCCAUUGUGCCUGUGCUAUGACUUCACCAACCUGAAAACCCAACAGGUGACAGUAUGGGCAGGAUUUCCCCAUGUCCUUUCCCACCCCGAGGAUAUGUUUUUUUCAGACUCCAAUUUAGGCUCAGAUCCUGGCCCUGGAAUCUUCUUUGUGACGGGUAUCCUCAUUUUCAUCUUUGGGCCCUGUAUCUUCCUUUUUCUCAUUUUCCUGAUGAUUCAGCAAUGCAAAAAGAAAAUAAAGUGCCAAGAUUGGUUUUCACAUCCUUCAUGGAAUGAAUGUGUGGAAGAGGAGAAACUCCUGAGUGAAGAUGCACUUGUAUGUGAGGAUACUGAGAUUAGAGGCACCGGGGUGUCAUAUGAAGAACAAAUAUGCCUGUAUUGAAACUCCUGUUACAUUUUGGUCCAGACUAGAGGUCCAGAAAGUAGCACUGUCUAUAUCCAGAUAAGAUAGUGCCAACUUGUGUUCCAUUUCUAUAUAAAUUGUCCUUUCAGACCAGUUCUGUGUUAUCAAGAAAUCUUUGUGAAUAUUUAGAGACUUUAACACAAACUGCUUUUAUAGAAUUCAUACCCCAAACUGCUUUAAUCCAAACACAUUUUCUUCCCCUGAGUGAAAUCCUAGGUGAUUGAUCCACGCUCAGACUGAAGCAGAUGCUGAAUCCAGCUCCGGAUCUGAGAUUUCUUUCCUCAGGAUGACUUCACAGUGAAAACAUGUGAAUAUUCCAGAAAUGUUCUAAUUACAUCAUCUUUUCUUACAUAAUUUCAGCCCCUCCCCCCAUGGACUUCAGAAUGUGAUUUCAUGGGAGUGGGGGGAUAGAUGUGUGUAUUUCAGAAAUAUCUUAAAUAUUUGUAAAAAUAAACAAAUCUGAAAACUUCUCAGAGGCAUAAUUGGAAUAGUAAAGCACAAAAUUCACUUGGAAGUGGAAUGUUUUUGUGUUAACUUUAUGACUUUGGCUGUGAAGAUAUCUAAACCUCAUCUUGCUUCUAAACCUGAUAUGCCUUUUCAUGGUUGAGUUAUUGGGUUACUAGGUAUAGCACACACAAGUUUAAUUAAAAUAAAUAUUAUUUCCUGUGUCCUCAGUCCAGUAAUCUUUGAAAAUGUAAAUUGGUUCAAGUUACCCCAUAGGUGAGAUAUCUUAUAGGAUAUGAUUUGAGAAGACUAUCCACAUUCACCAUGACUAUAACAUGCUGAGGGAAUAAUAAUGGCCCAACUCCUAAUCAACCAUCACUAAACCUGACUCUAAUCCAGCUUCCAGCAUUCCCAAUAUUCACCAAGAGAUAUGUAAUUUCUGAUCUUUUUUGAUAGCCUGGGGAAGUGAGAACAGGUGCAUGACAUCUUGGAAAAUAGUUGUUAUAAGUAGUAUACUGUUUCUAUAAAAUUACUCUCUACAACACUAUGUCUGAAUUACUUGUUUUGAAGAAAUUAAGUAACCCCUUAGAUUCAAGCUAGGAAUAUUGGAAGGUCAAAUGAUAAGUCCUGAAAAGGAAAAAGUACCCACUUUCACUCCCAAAUUCCAUCUGAAUGUGUGCUUAUCCAUCAAAGGGAAAAAGAAUGAAAUCCCUUAUUUCUGGCCUGCUGUGUUAAAGUCAACAGGAUCACAUGUGAUAUAUACAGUCUCAUAUAUACAAUAUGAGACUCAUCUUCUGAGGUUCCUGAGAAAAAUCAUUAGAGCUCACACAUCUGCUGGGGACUGAUAGACCAUCUACAUAUAAUGUGCUCAAGUUCUCAAGUCCUUUGGAAAAUAAGAAAUGAAAUAAUUUGAAUCAUUAGCUCUGCAUACUGUUCCCAGUAUUUCUAAUGGUUCUUGAGUGAAUUUAGGCUAUCAUCCUUCUCACUACUACAUCCUUAAAGAGUCCUUUUGUUGAAUUCUCCAUCACUGUUUUCUUCCUUUUUUUCCUAUGCCUCUUAUCUUCUUGCUGUCUCAUUUCAUCAAAUGUAGGAGAUUUUGCUGCUUCUUCCUCCUCCAAAACAUUAUUAUCAAAAGCUUAUGUAAUCAGCAUUUGCUGAAAUUUAGUGUUGAGGGAAGCAGUGAGGAGGGAAGGUAGCCUGGUGAAAGAUGCAAAUAAUUGCCCAAUUUGACAUCAUCUUUUUUUUUUAAGAGAGAAUCUUAAGCAUGCUCCAUGCCCAGUGCAGAGCCUGUCACAGGGCUCAAUCCUCCAACCCUGAGAUCAUGAUCUGAGCCCAAAUCCAGUUAGAUGCUUAACAGACUCAUCUACCCAGGUGCCCUUAACUUGAUCUAUAAAUUAACAAUAUUUUAUGUAGUUUGGCUCAAAAAUACAAAUAUUUAUAUUACCCUCUCAAAAUAUUUCUUCUUCAAUGGGAUGGUUUGUUUUAUGUACCCCCGAUCCUAUUACUGCCAAAAUGAUAAAAGAAACAGGGGCUGCCAAUUCCCAAAAUCCACUCUGGAGAAAUAAUAGAGAUAAAAGGGAAAUGAACAUCCAAAGAAUUAAACACACUAGAAUGAGACCUUUUCCUGAGCAGACUGAAACCUAGAUUGAAUUGGUGACCUGAGAACAGUGGACUGGGCAGAGGGUGGUCAAUGCCUGCAACCCUGGUAGAGAGCUGUCAGGGGAAGAAACGAGAGUGUAAACAGGAGACAAAUUCUGAUCUUGCAUUCCCCACAAUUUGUUUUAUUACUUAUUCUAAUUUCAUAGACACAGAAAUCUGUGUCAGUGAUCCAAGCUACUCACUGUGCCCAUGACUCCUAUUAGGCAGGUACAAAAGUGCUACUGAGGUAAAAAGUUAAAGAAAACAAUGAAGAAAUAAAUAAUAGGAUAAAUAUAGAUGAAGAACAAAUUGCUGAUUUGAAAAAUCAAUUUCAGGGAUGCCUAGGUGGCUCAGUUGCCCACUCUCUCUCUCUCAAAUAAAUAAAUAAAAUCUUUAAAAGAAAAGAAAUAUCAAUUUCAGUAAUUUUCCAAGAAGGAAUGAGAAAUAUACAAAGACAUAGAAAAUAUAAAAUGCUAAGGGAGAUGGAGAUAGAAGAAAAGCCCUGGCAUAUACUUAAGAAGGGUCUUGGAAGUAAGAAACACAAAAUUAGAGGGGAGGAAGGCACUGAAUAAUAAUAAUAAUAAUUCUAUCAAUAGAAACUUCACGGAAUAAAAAGAAUAAGUAAGGUCUCAUUUUGGAAGCACUUAUAGAUUGGCACUGAAGUAAGAUAAGGAAAAAUGUUCACAUGCAGACAAACUAUAGAGAAGUUUAAAAAAAAAAAAAACCACCAAAGUAAAAUUUCCAGAAGAAAGAGACCAUCUUCUGCCAAGGAACAAGAAUCCGAUUGACUCUAAACUUCUCAGUAGCAACAUUACUACGAGACAAAGUAAUAUUUUUUUAGUUUUAUUAAGUUAUCUCUACACCCCAGGUGGGACAUGAACUCACAACCCAGAGAUCAAGAGCCGCACACUCCUCAGACUGAGCCAGCCAGGUGCCCCAAAGUAUUAUCUUAAAAGAAGCAAGAACAUUUAAUUUGGAAUUGUAUGUGGAGCAAAAAUAUCAUCCCUAAGUGAGAAUGAAAUAUGCUAUAUAAGCCACAAUUUUAUGAAAUAUAUAAAGCUGCUAUUAACAUAAGAAGAAACAAUGAAAUUGAAUCUAACAAUAAAGGCCUAGAUAGUUUUAUUGGUAAGUUUCAUCAAGCUCUCAAGCAAUAGUUACUAUUUUAUACCAAAAAAAAAAAAAAAAAAAAAAAAAGCAGCAGAGAAUAAAGGGGGGAAAGUCCCAGCUUAUUUAAAAAGCCUAGUAUAGUAUUAAUUUUACUUUUUUAUGGAGUGAUAAAUAUACAGAGAGUAAAUGUCAUAAAUGUCACAACCCAAGAAUUGUUACAUACCUAUAUGUGCAUAUAUAUGUAUGCUGAAGAAUAUUUUCUGUGGCACAAGUUUCUCUCAUGCCUGCCUCCCCUGCUUAGCACUUUAUUGACCUCUUACCAUUAUAGAUUAGUUUUGGCUGUUUUUGACCUGUUUGAACAGUGAGAAUUCUUUUUUGCCUGCCCUCUUUCACAAAACAGCAUACCUAUGAGAUUCAGAGGUAUGCAUAUAGCAGUAUUUCUUUGAAAUUGCUAUCCAAUAUUCCUAGGGUGCUUGGAUGGUUCCAUUGGUUAAGCGUCCAACUGUUGAUCUUAGCUCAGGUCUUGAUAUCAGGGUUGUGAGUUCAAGCCCCACAUUGGGUUCCACACUUAAAAAAAUUGCUAAUAUUUUAAUGCAAGACACCAUCACAAUUU